GCGCGUGCGCGUCGCGUCGGACGGCACUGCAGAAGCAGGCGAGUUCGCGAGUAUAUCGAUUUUACGAUCGUGCCUCUCGCGGUACUAGUGCGUCCGUUUCCUUUAGUUUUUUAGUGGCCGUGCACGUCGUACAUGGAUAAAACCGUGAAUGGGAUUACCCGCUAGACCCGCCGCUCCGUACACCGCCCGCUGACUCACAACUCCUCGUCAUCCUUCACCAUGACCAAGGAUAGAUUAGCAGCCCUCGUCGCGGCUCAGUCGGACGACGACGAUGUGGCGGACGACGUGUCCGUCAACGUCGGGGCGCCGGAUGACUUCAUGACGGAAUUCUUCGCGGAGGUGGAGGAGAUCCGCGAAAUGAUAGAUAGGAUCCAGACGAACGUGGAAGAUGUGAAGAAAAAGCACAGCGCCAUCCUCUCCGCGCCGCAGACCGACGAGAAGGUAAAAAUGGAACUCGAGGACCUGAUGUCCGACAUAAAAAAAACUGCUAACAAAGUGAGAGCCAAGUUAAAGGUGAUAGAGCAGAACAUCGAGCAGGAAGAGCAUACGAACAAAUCGUCGGCGGACCUGAGGAUACGCAAGACCCAGCACUCGACGUUGUCUAGGAAGUUCGUCGAGGUGAUGACGGAGUACAAUCGGACACAGACCGAUUACAGGGAGCGGUGUAAGGGGAGAAUACAACGACAGCUCGAGAUCACGGGUAGAACGACCACUAAUGAGGAAUUGGAGCAGAUGUUGGAGCAAGGAAAUCCGGCCGUCUUCACGCAAGGGAUCAUCAUGGAGACGCAACAAGCAAAACAGACCCUCGCGGACAUCGAAGCGCGUCACGCUGACAUCAUUAAACUCGAAAACUCGAUCAGGGAGCUCCACGAUAUGUUUAUGGAUAUGGCCAUGUUGGUCGAGAGUCAGGGUGAAAUGGUGGACUGCAUUGAGUACUGCGUCAAUCAGACCAGCGACCACGUGGGCCAAGCACGGGGCGAGCUGAUCAAAGCCGAAGAUUAUCAGACCAAAUCUCGUAAGAAAUUGUUCCUGAUAGCGAUCUGCGUGACGAUAGUGGUCGUCAUUCUAAUUAUUAUUUUGGUAGUUAGCUUGAAAUAGAAUAUGCGCGCGCGCAACGCGCUUACGCCGAGAAACGAACACACAAACACUCGCAGAGUAUAAGGAUUAACGGGAACGCAAACUGAAAAAGACAAACGAACAAGCCGGAAUACACACAGAGAGAGAGAGAGAGAGAGAGAGAGACGCGAAGAUACUUCCUUUGAUCUCCUCUCGUCGAAGGACGGUCAGCCAGGAUCGCGACGGAGAUCAGCGAUCUCCUCCGAUCUCUCUCUCAUGGGGGAGUUCUGAUGAGAAAGAGAAACGCGCGACGUGUGUCGCGAGUUCCAUAGUCGUCAAGAUAUACAUAUAUCGCCUUCGGCACUUCCGCGAGUGUCGCGUUACAUUUAUUUAUUAUUGAUGAUUAAUAAAUUUUAUGCGUCUUUUAUUUAUUAUUGCUUCGUAACACAACACCGUCGAUCGAUCGCGCGCGCGCGCGCGCGCGGACGACGAUCCGCGAUGGUGAUUAGACUGAUUAAAGUCCGACUCGCGGCCGUCGUGACUCCUGGGGGAAGCCAGGAACGGUGACAGGACCACGCGGACACGCGCGCUGGACCUCGAUUGCACCAAGUUGGCAAACGGCGAACGCGGGCUCUGCCCACUGCGCCUCAAUAUGCCAUAGCCGAUCCCCUUCUCUCGUUUUUAUUCGAACGCACGCUGCCUUUUGUUAUUUUCUGGCACUUCGCCGUUCCUGGUGACCGCAGGGCGAGGACGAAAAGCAAAGAUCGCGACCGGUAACGCCGUCCGAGAUUCAUGCGCGACGACACCUUGGGGACCGAAAACGUGCGCCCUUUGCCGAAUCCGAGUUUCGGGAGAUGCUCGCCGGCGAAGCAUGUCUCAGUUAUGCGAGAGCGGAUUGCAACGGGAAACGAGUUUCCGCUCCGUCCGUCUACCUUUGUCCUCGUCGACAAUCGAUUCGUCGUCGACAGAGGUAUGCGAGACGAAGUGUCACGACAGACGCGGCGAAGAAAGAGAGUUGUUCUCAAUCCGAGCGCAACCAGACUGAAAGACGCUCGUGGACGCUUCCGGUCCAGAGAGAUCGACCUGCUCGCGACAGGAGCGAAGGAGGUCGGGCCGGCCUCUAGCAUAGCUGGCGCUCUAGUCCAGUCUCUCUAGGCUUCCGCCUCGGCGCGACGCAUCUCGCGACAGGUGCACGCUCUAAUGAACAAAUAUCGAUUCGCCCGACGAGCUCUAAUCACCGUCGCAGUGCUGGCCGCGCGCGCGUUGUACGUGUAAAUAAAAUCGCAGACUGUAUGGAGCGAGGACAAUGAUAACGAGGGGAAAUGAGGAGAAAUUGCGAUAACGAGGAGGAAAGGAGAUGAGAGGCGAGAGGAAGGAAGAAAGAGAGUAUUAAUAGUUAAGCGUUAGUAGGAAUCUUUUUCUCUUGGGGUGUUGUUCAGCGUUUCAAGCAGCUCUUGGACAAGAGGAGGGCGGCGUCGCGUCGUCCGUCGUCCUCCCUUCUCCGUCACGUUUGUUGUUGUAUACUUGCCGCCGAAAAAAAGAAAAAAAAAAUAUAGAAACACAGAAACAAAUAAUAAUUGUACGUGAAUGAGAGAUAUGCUGAUCAAAAAACGAAGAGCGAUCGGCCGGUGCCGAGAUCACGCGAGAUCAGUAAGAAUUGUGGAGCCAGGACGGACCGCGAUUCGCGUGACAAGUGCAAAUUGGUAGAACUCUAGUGAAGUUGUGCAAGCCCGCGGAGAGACAGAGGGGCAGAGUAACAUGGGACGAAGCGGGAGAACGCGUCCGGAGUCAGGGGGUGCGUCGUGGGAGCCGGAUGGAAGAAGCCGAGGGAGAAAAAUGCGGACUCGCUGAUGGCGAGAAGAUAACGCGCAGGUCAGUAUCGCCGACCUUCCCGUCUGUGGCUGAUCCUCGACUCCUGUCUUACCUGAUCCUCCCCUCGUUGCGGCAAGAAGCAUGAGAUUUCGAGAUGAUUUAUUUACCUGUACUUGUGCUCAACGAGCGCUUCUGAGCUGAUUGACUGUACCGACGCAUCGACUGAUGCUUUUCUGAUUCCAUUCUGAUCGUGUCUUUUACUAUGCGUGCCAAAGAGCACUGAUACAGCUUGAAAUUCGUGUGAAACGCCCAAUCGUUGACAUUCCCCUAAGACGUUGACACUUUGGAGAAAACCUGGUUCAUCACGUCAGUAUCAUUGUAAAUGCCGUUCAAUUUAUUGCCUGCAUUCAAUGAUUUUAAAGGAGCUAAAACUGAACAUUUGGUCACAAGUUGCCAUUUGGUCGCAGGGAAGACUAGACUUUUCCAGAAAAUCAGACUAAGAAAAGAAUCAAUAAUUGGAUGUUUCACUCCUGCACACUGAAAGCAAAAGUAUCUAAUAGAUAAAAAGUAUUUAUUCGAUAAAUACUGAUAUUUACUUGCAAUGAUAUAAAAUGUUUUUCAAAUAAGAAAAUGUGUAUUUUUUUGAAAUAUUCCCUCAGCUUUUCAUCAAAGCAAUUGUUUAUUCUCUAUUAAAAAAAAAUAAUUUAGACAAAUUGGUUAUUGGUAUCCAUCGAAUAAAUGUUUUUUUUAUUUUCUAGAUUUUUUCUAUUAUUUUAAUUUUAAUUUUUUUUUAUUUUUUAUUCUUUUUCUCAAAACGUACAUUGUCCAUCUGCAAUUAGUCAAUCAUCCGAAUCGAAGCGUUGGUGCAACUCGGCUCUGGGCAACUCGCGAGUUUGUCCGUCGAGAACGUCCUCUCGACCGUGCAAACGCGAUUUCCGCCGCUCGCAGGCACCCCGACACUGACGCGUAAUUUUUUACGCAGGAUCCAUUGCAACCUUGUGCCGGCGCCAAGCAAGAUCCGAUUUCUUUCAGGUGCUCUCCCACGACACGAUAGGUUGAUAAUAAAAUAAACCUUUAUAAUGUAGCGUAAUCGUUGCGGACAAAGGCGUCGAGCAGUGUGGGUUUUCUCGAGUUUCACAGGAAGAGAGCAGAAAGACGGUAGAGGGUGAGAGAAUGAGAGUGACAGAGAGAAAGAGAGAGAGAGGGGGAGAUAGAGAGAAAAAGAAAUGGAUAAGUAGAUAGGUGAGAGAGUAGAGUUCAGGGGAGAGAGCGUUGUGAGUGAGAUGUAUAUAUGUAUAUAGAGACAAGAAAAGAGGAGCGAGAGCUUUGUAGCCGAUUGUAUUAAACACUUUUACCGGUCUGUUAAUGCCGAAUGCAGAAGAAGAUCAUGAUCAUGAUUUGCCUCACCGUACUGGGCAUCGUCGUCGCCACCACCAUCGGUGGAUACUUCGGACUGUGAACGCCAAAACCAGAGAAGUCCAAAGACAUCAGCAUCGUGUACCUAAUUCCAAACCGCCGGCAGUAUCAGCAUUCACUCAUAUCGGCCCGAUACGUGAAGCUGAUCGCCGUCGGGACGAGAGGAGAUCACUGUCGAAGGUGCCACCGGCGCGCUUUUACCAUAACACCCGUCAUCGCUAGAGCCUGCAGUCUAUCACGCGCGCUUCCCAGCUCGACGCGAGAGAAACUCACGAGAGGAGAAAUCGGAACACCAUCGUCGUCAUCGUCGACGUCGCCGUCGUCGUCAUCGUGCUCGUCGUCAUCGUCGUGGUCGUCGUCGCCGUUGUCGUCGUCGUUAUGUUUGCGCCAUCCUCGUCGGGAGUCUCCUCCGCGGUACCUAAGCUAGCGUUAGUUGCGUUCGACUCGACGUAUGAGUAGAGAGGAGAGAGAAGAUAGAGCAUCCCCCUCGUUCUUUUGUAAUCCACGUAGCUCAGUCGACAAUUUCCCCGACAAAUCAGCCUUCGUUAACCAAGUCUCAGCCUCGAGCCUGCCCCCGCUCGCUCUUGCCACUCAGCCCCACGUUAGCGCGCAGCUUAGACUGUAAGCUCUAUUUGUGCGUGCGUUCUCGUCGGUCCUUCUUUCCUUUCCUUUCCCAGCCCGUCCACCUUUCCCGAAUCACACGGCGAAGACGAGAUAACGGACGACAAGCAAGGAGGACUUCGCGAGCGGGCCGGGCUGUAUAAACGAGACGCUUGUUUAGAAUGCGACUAGAACUGUCGACCGGAGAUAUGCGCCGUCGGGACGACGUCUCCGAUCGGCACAUCAGACAACGCGUCGUCUUAUCGACAGGACGGCUGUCGACACGAGGACACUGCCGGUGUUUCCCCCCUUUACCUGCCCCGUCCUCAUCAUCAUCAUCAUCAUCAUCAUUGUCAUUAUCCUUCUUCUCACCCAUCCAUGUGCGUGUCACAAGGACGUGCACAUUGUCAUCGAGUCACCCUGACGAGACUCGCGUCUCGUCGCUAAACGCAACCCCUCUUCGCGGUGUUCACCCACCCAGGCCCACCUCGAGUCCCCGUCACACGAGCCUGAUGACCCAAUGGUGCUUUUCUGUGUAACGCGAAGGCGAUCGGGAGCGUUUAUGCCACAUCACCCCCCGCGGCGCACAUCCGCCUUCUUGCCGAAAGUAACGCACGCACCACGGUGCCGCCGCUCGAGCCGGGUUUCUUUGACUGUGAUUUGCACACCGAGCUUGGGACGAGUCGCGCUUCCCUGUCACAUUCUGAAAAUCCGCGCCCAAAAGUCCGCGCGCGAUCUCGCUCCGGUUAUUAUUAUUAUACGUACGAUUAGACACGUCAGAAAGGAAGAGAGAGAGAGAGAAAGAGAGACAAACCGCUGUCCGAACACGCUAAAUUCGCGACACACACACACACACAUAUACACAUCACACGCACACACGCACGCAUACGUGAUACGUGAAAUUGCAAUUUCCGCUAGAGCGACCCCCGCGGGCGCGCGACACAUCGCUGAAUUAACGAUACUAAUUAGCAGUAGCGCUCGCGAUAAUUGUAAUAAGCGAGAUUUCCACUCGGUACACUCGUGCGCGGAGAACGUCCUGUGAGAUCUCUUUCGUAAAAAUCGAGGAAAGUCUAGGAGGAACUUAGCGGGUGAACCGUUGAGACGCGGUGCCGUGAUCUGGCUGGCGGUGUUAACUUGAGAGUUACGUGAGCCAGUCGAAACGCUGAUCAAGCGACACGCCGCUGAUCCGGCCGCUACGAGUCCAUCUCUUUGGCGCGCUGACAUCCCCCAGCGGUUUACCCCUUGGCUAUAUACAUAUCACGCGACCUCGAGAGUAACGUUUUCGACACUAUCCAACUACACCUCUCUCUGUAUUCGGACGAUCGCGAUGGAGUCUCGGCCGGGCGAGAGCCCUUCCUUCAGGCGGGGUUUUCGAGCUGACCGGUGGCUGACCGAUUGACGACGGUUGAUUGAUGACUGGCCGAACGUAAGUUUCUCUCAGGGUGAGGUCUUGCUGGAAACGAGCGGAACUCCAGACAGAACAGCACCGCGACCGGAUCGUGGCUCAUGAAGCAAUAUCUCCCUCUGUCUGGGACGGCGCGAGCGGACGAAGAAAAGGCAGUCGAUACUUGUACAGGUAGAUCGGAGGUCCUAGCUUCGUGUAAUAUUAAUUAAUAUCGAUCACAUGCAAGGCUUACAUUACGACUAGAUUUUCCACCGUUAUCCGCAGCCUACUUAUCACCUAGUGAGUACGAGGUAUCGCCCCGAGCGGAUUUAGCCGAGCGAGAAUAAUGCAGGUCGGUGCACAACCGAGUUCUCGGAGAGUCACUUGAUUAUAAUUUACGACGCGAUGUUGAAGGCGAUUAUAUCGACGUCGGAGCGAUGUGACUUUUAUAACGGGUACCUUUGAUUAUAUAGCGCGCGAAAAGGGCGUUGUAUACACGUAAAAAAACCACACACCACGUGCAUCCACGUACACACGCACACACACAUCUACACACGCGCACGCACGCACGCGCUCUGUAUCUCGUUCGUUGUGUGAUCAUCGUAGCUCACUCGGAGAAGGUGUUACGACCAAUAGGUGUUCAGUGUGAAAGGAACAAUCAAUUCUUCCGAUAUUUCUAUUUAGCUGUAAUUAGCGGAAUCAAUUGCGAUAUAGCGAGGUGUAGAGUCAAGGAAGCGGCCGUGUCUCCGCGCGGGCACGGCCGCGCGCCGUUCAGAAUCUUCUUCCGCGUUGUUCGCGUCGCGCGACAUUUUUGGAAUGUGACCGAGAGAGCGACGAGACGAAUGUUCAACGAGCACGUCAUAAAUUUAGGGUAUAGGUUUUCAUUGUACGGCAUAAGUGCGCUAUUAGGUUCUCGUCUCUUGCUUUUCGUACGUUCUCCAUCUUACCUUCACGCGAGAUGCUUUCACCGAUGUUUCGCGUAGGUUCAUUCGUCUUCAAUUUCGUGUUGCACAAAACGCCAUUAGGUAUUGGGUAUUACUAACAAUAACGGAUCCUCAACCGCGAUUCUCUGCCUUGGACACGACAGUUGUUUCGCGCCUUCCGUUAUCUCGACGAACCCUCGGCAAGCAGCGACAACCUUACGCUGUCUCUUCGAAGCGCCUUCGCUUCACGAGUGCACAAUGACUUUCCUUUGUACCCCGCUCGUUUCUUCGCCGUUGAUUGGCCCCCUGCAUUGUUCGCGAAGCCGCGCAAACCAGAAAAUUACUCGCUGAUUGAUCUCACUUUCUCGCUUGCUUCUGCUCUGUUUUUCUUUCCAGUUUAGCGCGUGGAUCCGAAAGCCAUUGUCGCGUCCGGCCAAGUGACUUCGGGUCGCCCUCCAUUGUUUCGCGCGUAGGCGAAAUUUCUUUCUUUUCCCUUUCACUUCGCCGUUUCACACGAGGGUUCUCGAAAAUCGAGUAUGCGAAAGGCGCACCACCUUCGAAACGGUUAACCCCAACAACGUGGACAAAGGAAGAGAGGGCAUGAUAAGUGGAAAGGAGCAACAGAGUAUGAAAGGUGGAAUGAAUGUGUGAGAGGGAGAGAAAGUGUGCGAGUCUGAGAAACAGAAGAAACAGCCACUAAGGCUGCAGCAAUAAUAUAAAUAUAUAUAUAGGUGUUACGAAAAAAAAAAAUAUAUAUAUAUAUAUAUAAAAGUAAAGAUAUCCCAUUGGCGGCGAGCAAGAAUGAGUUAAAUGCGAGCGAUAUUGUAUGUACACGGGCAUGUAUACAUAUAUAUACAUAUUAAUAUAUACAUAUAUAUAUAUGUAUGCAUAUGUAGGUAGAUAGGUAGAUGGCAUGUAUGGUCGAGGAGAGAAUAACAAUAUUAAUAACGACAAUUAUUAUAUCGGCAGCCUAUAUCGCUCCUCGACAGAUUGAAUAACCUGUAUCGCACGGAGUACUGGCGGCGUUAUAUAAUGUUAAUGUUUUGUUGAGUAUAUAUUAUAUUAUUACGAACGUUGAGGUGCAUACGCAUUCAGAAGAUUAUGGGUUAGUGUUUAAGAGAGGAAAGAAGAGAGAGAGAGAGAGAGAGAGAGAGAGAGAGAGGGAGGAGAAAAGAGAAAGAGAGAGAUAAACAGACAAGCGAAAUAGCAGUGAAUGAUUUACGCAUCGCACCGCAGUGUGCGUUGCUGUAAUGAUUAAUAUUAAAAUACUAAUAAUAAUAACGAUGACUCUAAAUAUAUAUAUAUAUAUAUACAUAUUAAGAGAUCACCUUGCAUUGUACAGAAAGCAUAAUAAUUGUUAGUUUAGGUAGAACGAAACAUUACUAAUCUACUAAUCUGAUUAUCCAGUACGACUAAGGUGGCUAAGAUUCUGAACGCGUCAUCCCCCUCUGUGACACGCGAGUUACGACGGUCGUCGAUAGGGUAUCACCCUUUGAUCAUCCGGCUAAUUAAUAAAUUUCGUUGAGGAGAACGUCUCCGCUCGUCGAGAAACGUCGCGUUGCGCGUCGGAGUGAUGAAGAGUACGAAAGGAAGAAAUAGAAAGAAAGAGUAGCCUUUCGGCUAUUCCGAGGAGAGAUUUCAUAUUCGGAGCAGAAGCGACUGCAAUCUCGCGUUACAGAUGUCUCCAGGUGUCACCUCGCGAGUCGCGAGCGUUCUACCUCGUUUUACCGUUUGAUUCGCAUUAAAUUUCUCGCAGAGCGCGAUCUCACUACGUAGAAUUCACGAUCGCCUUACACUUUCGCCACGGACGACGCGCCGCGUUCGCGGAUCUCCGUUCGCGACGAGCCCGACGAAAAUUCGAAACGCUCUGCCGCGAAGAUCCCCGACCGCGGCGCGGACCGCCGUCCGCGAUUGGACGCAACCGCGAAUCUCGUGACUUAGCUUCUCGUAGCGGACUCUUCGUGGUAGGAAUUGAGAAGAAUUGUGAGGAAACCAAGUGUCGUCAAUUUCUUAUCGCUAGAUAAUGAGAGAAAGGGAGAGAGUGUGAGAGAGAGAGAGAGAUUUUAGACAAGUAACGUUCUAGUUUAUUCGACACGCAGAAGCCUGUUGAUCGUAAGUUAAACGAAUCUGGCCUAAAGAUGUAGGGAACGUCGCGUCUCCUCGUUAACUACCGAUCGAUCGAUCGAUCCAUCCGCGACGUUCAUCCCCGUCGUCGUGCGGCGACGUCGCGGCUGGACGUCCGGAUGCGUCUUGAUCGUCUCUCUGUCAAUGUGGUCUCUUGGAUGUCUUUACGUCGCUUUCGAGCCCGCACGUUUCAGUCCCCCGGGUCUUUCCCUCUGUUCCCCUUUGCGCGCUCGCGAUUUCGUCGUCACAUCGUCGUCAUUUUGUCAUAAGACGCAAGGAAGCACACACACAAUGCCGGACGGUUAAGAGACAACGGCGAACUGCACAUUCGGUCGCUCUGUCGCUCGUUAGGAUCGCGUAUCGGAGACAUUGUCGGGUUUCAAUACGCUCGUGUAUCUUGCGCGAAAACGUCUCGCGUUUUCCCUCGCGAGUGUCUCAGACUUUUAGAUAGCUAAUUGCGGAAGCUGACCCGUCUUCCUUGAUAAACCGUGCUCUCGUCGGCUCGAGCGUACGCUGCUCUUUUCGAUCUCCUUCUUCCUCCUCCCCUCCCCCUCCACUCUGUUCCCCGCGAAGAAAAAGCAGCGAUUUGAAAAGAUGAAGAUGAGAGAGAAAAGAGGAAAAGCGCAGCGAACGCGUCGAGGGACGAGAACCACAAAGAGAAACAUAAUGAGUGACAAAGUCGGACACACACAAUAUUCCCGUGUUCUCGAUAUAUCGUAUAUUUACCCGCCCGCGAUUAGCCGGAAUAUAUCUCGCUGGAGUUCGAAUAAUGAAGUGGAGUGAGGGAGAAGAAAGAGAGAGAGAGAGAAAUAAAAGGAGAAGCAGAAGGGACAUCGUUAAUCGUUGAAUACGCUAUUCCAUUGCAUUUGUACGUAGAGUAGAAUAGAAAAAUUGCGCAACGGAUCGAUCUGCGUAGGGAUCUCUUCGGACACACGCGAUCCGAUUUUCGAAUGUAUAGAUAAGUUCUAGAGAUACACGUACAAGUACGAGAAGAGGGGAAAGUGGGAGCGGGAGGAAGAGGGGAACAUGCGCGAUCGAGUCCGCGAAUACAUGGAUCGGUGUCAUGUCGGUGCAAUUAUUAAUACGAGUGGCCAUUAAUCAAUAACCUUAUAAGUGUCAAUUCCACUUUUAAGUGUAAAUCGUAAUUUCGUGAGAGUUUUAAGAGAAAAGAAUUAGAAAAGAAAGGAGCUAGAGAGAAAAAGGGGAAGGGAGACAGGUGUGAUGUGGCGUCAAACGACAACUGGAUAGAAGAGAAUCUCAAAUGGUUUAACGUAAAAAAAAAAAUAAGGGUUGCGCGCGGAUCUCGCCGACGCGCGACACAGUGAGAUUACUGAUAAACUUAAUUUAUCGAGAUCGAGAAAUAGAAAGAAAAUACAUUAGGAGAGAAAGGGAGCGAUAGAGAGAGAGAAAGAGAGAGAGAGAGAGAGAGAGAGAGAGAGAGAGAGAGAAAGUAUGUGUGCGCGCGUGUGUGUGCGUGUAUGUGCGUGAGUGUGCGUGAGAAACAAUGAAAGAUGCAUUGGAACAGAAAAGAAGAGAAAAAAAACGAAAAAAAAAAAGACAGAAACUAAACCGUAGCACAGGCAGAACGUAACAGAGAUAACGGAUACUUUUUAUCGUAGGUAUUUCAUAGGUGAGAUUCAUAAAAAUAAUAAUAAUGAUAAUUAAAGAAAAAAAGAGAUUAACGCAUUUAACGAAUACGAGAGUACUUACUGAGGGAAAAGUAAAAAAAAAAAAACAUUCAACGGCGUUUUUCUCUGCCUAUGCGUAUUAUUAUCCGGCGUCUCGCGCCCACUUCUGCGUGUCGUCGUCGUCGUCGUCGUCGUCAUGCGAGCGCUGUGCGUAAUGCUCCGCGCGCGCGCGUGCGAGAAAUUCUAAUAAUUGCCGAAGAAAUAAUAAGAGCCGGAAGAUAAAGCCGAAGAAUAACAGAGUGAUAAAAAAGGAAAAUAGCAGACGCGAUGAUUAACCAGGCAUCCUUGCGUUCUUGUCUCUAACACGAUUAAAUACUAUUACUACUGCUACUACUACUAUUACUACUACUACAACUAUUACUAUUAUUAUUAUCAUCAUUGACACUGUACAAAAUUGGCAAUAAUCUUAAGAGGUCCCCCUUGAA
Molecule: RNA transcript, 11428 nt
Organism: Odontomachus brunneus
Lineage: Eukaryota; Metazoa; Arthropoda; Insecta; Hymenoptera; Formicidae
Gene name: syntaxin-1A
Exons: 10
Source: RefSeq, a predicted model, not a curated record